This 255-nucleotide ribosomal RNA is filed under the name uncultured bacterium. RNAcentral's name for it is "partial 16S ribosomal RNA". It matches the Rfam family "Bacterial small subunit ribosomal RNA", at positions 524 to 776 of the family's 1533-position model. The record is from RNAcentral.
UACGGAGGGAGCUAGCGUUAUUCGGAAUUACUGGGCGUAAAGCGCACGUAGGCGGCUUUGUAAGUUAGAGGUGAAAGCCUGGAGCUCAACUCCAGAACUGCCUUUAAGACUGCAUCGCUUGAAUCCAGGAGAGGUGAGUGGAAUUCCCGAGUGUAGAGGUGAAAUUCGUAGAUAUUCGGAAGAACACCAGUGGCGAAGGCGGCUCACCUGGACUGGUAUUGACGCUGAGGUGCGAAAGCGUGGGGAGCAAACAGG